RNAcentral lists this non-coding RNA (174 nucleotides) under uncultured Shimia sp. Lineage: Bacteria; Pseudomonadati; Pseudomonadota; Alphaproteobacteria; Rhodobacterales; Roseobacteraceae. The record is from RNAcentral.
UUCGGUUCCGGGGAGUCCUCCGGAAGCAAUAGGGAAUGCAGUGCGGCCACCUUGGCCAAUUCUGCAACUGCCCCCGCAACUGUAAGCGGCGAGCACAGCUGAUCAUGCCACUGGGGAGACCCGGGAAGGCUCAGCGCCGUGCUGCGACCCGCGAGUCAGGAGACCUGCCGGACA